Molecule: small nuclear RNA, 133 nt
Organism: Tupaia belangeri (northern tree shrew)
Lineage: Eukaryota; Metazoa; Chordata; Mammalia; Scandentia; Tupaiidae
Source: Ensembl
AGAAAGGGCUUCUGCCAUGAGAGGUACACAGAGGACAACUUGAUUGUUCUUUUGUGGAAUCGAUAUCAAGAGAUUUUAGAAGGAUAACGUUUUGGUAGUUGGGCAAUUGGUGAUAUUUGGUCCAGAUGCCUUU